UGCUAACUUUGCACCGAUGGUGCUCGUGCGGGCGUUCGUCCGUAUGAGUUAAAAGGGAAACGAGUGGAAUUCUCGUACAGUCCCGCUGCUGUGAAGCCUCCAUUGCACGGCGCAUGAUGCCACUGUGAAAAAGAGUUGAUCCUCCUCGUGAGGUUCGCUUCGAGUACAUGGGAAGGCGUGUCGUGUAGAGGUCAGUCAGAAGACCUGCCAUCCAAGUGCAUUCUGU
RNAcentral lists this non-coding RNA (226 nucleotides) under Porphyromonas cangingivalis. Lineage: Bacteria; Pseudomonadati; Bacteroidota; Bacteroidia; Bacteroidales; Porphyromonadaceae. The record is from RNAcentral.